GUGGAUGCCCUGGCAGUCAGAGGCGAUGAAGGACGUGCUAAUCUGCGAAAAGCGUCGGUAAGGUGAUAUGAACCGUUACAGCCGGCGAUGUCCGAAUGGGGAAACCCAGUGUGAUUCGUCACACUAUCGUUAACUGAAUACAUAGGUUAACGAGGCGAACCGGGGGAACUGAAACAUCUAAGUACCCCGAGGAAAAGAAAUCAACCGAGAUUCCCCCAGUAGCGGCGAGCGA
This 232-nucleotide ribosomal RNA is filed under the name Klebsiella aerogenes. Its description in RNAcentral is "partial 23S ribosomal RNA". It matches the Rfam family "Bacterial large subunit ribosomal RNA", at positions 24 to 256 of the family's 2925-position model. The record is from RNAcentral. RNAcentral also lists the same sequence under 1 other name. Lineage: Bacteria; Pseudomonadati; Pseudomonadota; Gammaproteobacteria; Enterobacterales; Enterobacteriaceae.